AGCGAACGCUGGCGGCAGGCCUAACACAUGCAAGUCGAACGAACCGUUCGUGGUUGGUGGCGGUUGGGUGAGUGACACGUGGGAACGUGCCUUUAGGUUCGGUAUUUCUCAUGGAAACUUGUGCUAAUAUCGAAUGUGCCCUUCGGGGGAAAGAUUUAUCGCCUUUUGUGCGGCCUGCGCUUGAUUAGCUAGUUGGUUGAGGUAAUGCCUCACCACGGCGACGUUCAGUAGCUGGUCUGUGAGGAUGAUCAGCCACACUGGGAACGCGACACGGACCAAAAUCCUAGGGGCGGGAGCUGAGGGUAGUCUAGCGCUACGGGCGAGAGCGUGACGCAGCCGCGCCGCGUGAGUGAUGAGGGUGUUAGGAUAGUGAAUUUGUUUCAGCGGCAACGAUAAUGACGGUACCCGGAGAAGAAGCCCCGGCUAACUUCGUG
RNAcentral lists this ribosomal RNA (434 nucleotides) under uncultured bacterium. Its description in RNAcentral is "partial 16S ribosomal RNA". It matches the Rfam family "Bacterial small subunit ribosomal RNA", at positions 29 to 507 of the family's 1533-position model. The record is from RNAcentral.